This is a long non-coding RNA of Pimephales promelas (fathead minnow), 403 nucleotides long. RefSeq lists it as uncharacterized. The record is from RefSeq and is a predicted model, not a curated record. Lineage: Eukaryota; Metazoa; Chordata; Actinopteri; Cypriniformes; Leuciscidae.
CGUAAAUCCCCAUUGGGCCGUACAUGCUGUCUCUGCCUCCUACUAUACUGAAUCCCAGGCCCUGGAAUACCAUGAGAGCGCUUUAUAUGGAGGGGACCAAGUGCGCUGAACUUAGAGAGCGAGAUGGUCUAACCACAGCCUGCAGAGAACGGGGAGAACACUAAUAAUGUGUGGCCUUUAAUCAGAUUGCAUGAUCCGGUCAACGUCCCUCACCUGUGGAAUGCUAUGAGGAAAUUCCAGCUGUUGAGAGAGAGACUUCCUGUUGCCGUAAAAUCCUGUGGUGGCGUGGGCGUGACACGGGAACAGCUCUGGCGUCUUCAUAAUGAUGGGUUGUCUCACUGGUGGAGUUGGAGCGAGAUCUUUUGCAGGACGUCUCUUGGCAGCUCUGAUCCUCAUCAUCGCA